This is a non-coding RNA of Candidatus Curtissbacteria bacterium, 73 nucleotides long. The record is from Rfam. NCBI's taxonomy places the organism in Bacteria, Candidatus Curtissiibacteriota.
GGCGCUAUCGUCUAGGGGUUUAGGACACGUGGUUCUCAUCCACGAAACCGGGGUUCAAAUCCCCGUAGCGCUG